This 680-nucleotide ribosomal RNA is filed under the name Weissella cibaria. RNAcentral describes it as "bacterial SSU rRNA". It matches the Rfam family "Bacterial small subunit ribosomal RNA", at positions 38 to 671 of the family's 1533-position model. Lineage: Bacteria; Bacillati; Bacillota; Bacilli; Lactobacillales; Lactobacillaceae. The record is from RNAcentral.
GGCUGGGGGGGCCUAAUCAUGCUACGUCGAACGCUUUGUCUUAUAACUGAUCUGAACGAGCUUGCUCUGAUUUGAUUUCAUUUGACAAAGAGUGGCGAACGGGUGAGUAACACGUGGGUAACCUACCUCUUAGCAGGGGAUAACAUUUGGAAACAAGUGCUAAUACCGUAUAAUACCAACAACCGCAUGGUUGUUGGUUGAAAGAUGGUUCUGCUAUCACUAAGAGAUGGACCCGCGGUGCAUUAGCUAGUUGGUAAGGUAACGGCUUACCAAGGCAAUGAUGCAUAGCCGAGUUGAGAGACUGAUCGGCCACAAUGGGACUGAGACACGGCCCAUACUCCUACGGGAGGCAGCAGUAGGGAAUCUUCCACAAUGGGCGCAAGCCUGAUGGAGCAACGCCGCGUGUGUGAUGAAGGGUUUCGGCUCGUAAAACACUGUUAUAAGAGAAGAACGGCACUGAGAGUAACUGUUCAGUGUGUGACGGUAUCUUACCAGAAAGGAACGGCUAAAUACGUGCCAGCAGCCGCGGUAAUACGUAUGUUCCAAGCGUUAUCCGGAUUUAUUGGGCGUAAAGCGAGCGCAGACGGUUAUCUAAGUCUGAAGUGUAAGCCCUCAGCUCAACUGAGGAAUGGCUUUGGAAACUGGAUGACUUGAGUGCUGUAGAGGAAAGUGGAACUCCA